CCCUUCCUGCUCGGUGCGUGAUGGGUUCUUUUAAACCCACAUUUAUCAAACGGGACGCCCCCUCACGGCGCGGCUUGCAGGCCUCCCGGUCCCCUCUCCGGAGGGCGGCUGGACGUUGGAAGCAGUAAACCGCUGUGGAGGCGACCCACCUGCCAUCCGUGCAGGUUUUAAUUGGCCCACACGGCCAGAGCGGGAUCUAU
RNAcentral lists this non-coding RNA (200 nucleotides) under Lawsonibacter sp. RNAcentral describes it as "6S RNA". It matches the Rfam family "6S / SsrS RNA". From Rfam's summary of the family: E. coli 6S RNA was the first non coding RNA to be sequenced, but its function was unknown until recently. It consists of 184 nucleotides that fold into an extended hairpin structure with a large single-stranded internal bulge. The 6S RNA specifically associates with RNA polymerase holoenzyme containing the sigma70 specificity factor. Lineage: Bacteria; Bacillati; Bacillota; Clostridia; Eubacteriales; Oscillospiraceae. RNAcentral also lists the same sequence under 1 other name. The record is from RNAcentral.